This 468-nucleotide ribosomal RNA is filed under the name uncultured bacterium. RNAcentral describes it as "partial 16S ribosomal RNA". It matches the Rfam family "Bacterial small subunit ribosomal RNA", at positions 28 to 507 of the family's 1533-position model. The record is from RNAcentral.
GACGAACGCUGGCGGCGUGCUUAACACAUGCAAGUCGAACGGAAAGGCCCUGCUUUUGUGGGGUGCUCGAGUGGCGAACGGGUGAGUAACACGUGAGUAACCUGCCCUUGACUUUGGGAUAACUUCAGGAAACUGGGGCUAAUACCGGAUAGGAGCUCCUGCUGCAUGGUGGGGGUUGGAAAGUUUCGGCGGUUGGGGAUGGACUCGCGGCUUAUCAGCUUGUUGGUGGGGUAGUGGCUUACCAAGGCUUUGACGGGUAGCCGGCCUGAGAGGGUGACCGGCCACAAUGGGACUGAGAUACGGCCCAGACUCCUACGGGAGGCAGCAGUGGGGAAUAUUGCAGAAUGGGCGGAAGCCUGAGGCAGCAACGCCGCGUGCGUGAUGACGGCCUUCGGGUUGUAAACCGCUUUCGCCUGUGACGAAGCGUGAGUGACGGUAAUGGGUAAAGAAGCACCGGCUAACUACGUG